AGAGAACAGAAAUAGAGAUUUGGGUGGCUUUAGCUGUUUAAAAUAAGGUGACCAAACCUCCUUUCUGCCUGUUCCUGCUAUUUCAAACACCACUGUUCUCCACACAAUGAAAAUGGCCUUGUUCCUUAAGCCAAAGAUAGCUGAACUUUUGUUUGACAUUUUACACGGUGUCUUAUACCUGCCUGAAAGAAGGGGUGCAGGUCUUCACAGAAUGAGGAAAGGCCAGAGAUUUGGACUCCAAAGACCACAGCUUGGAUUCUAAGCUGUCACUUACCAGCCAAAAGGGAAUCUUGGCCCAGUCACUGAAGCCCCCUGAGUCUCAACUACCUCAUCUGUAAAGGGUCUCAUCAGGCCCACAUUAGAUUAUCUACUCGACCAUCAGUUCAAGCUCUAAGGUAAUGUGUCAUUGUUCAUGUUAUUACCAACUUGAGAGAAAAAGAAAAGCAAAACUUGGUGGUUCAGAGAAGACCAUUUAUCUGGAUUUUCUCUGUUAUAGAAAGGUCAAAAUCACCCAUCCUUCCUAAUCUUGGUCCUUUGAUUUAUGUCUGAUUGAGGGAAGAGGUGGUCCCAGCACCCGGGGUGGGAAGAGCUUGCAGGGGGACCCAGGGGGACUUAGCUGCAGGAGGGGGUUAGCUGACACUCAGGGCCAUCAUUCGGAACAGCUGAAUUGUCCUC
Molecule: long non-coding RNA, 675 nt
Filed under: Homo sapiens (human)
Lineage: Eukaryota; Metazoa; Chordata; Mammalia; Primates; Hominidae
Description: HSALNT0152790
Source: RNAcentral